AACUAUACCACGUAGACUCAAA
RNAcentral lists this microRNA (22 nucleotides) under Ananas comosus (pineapple). RNAcentral's name for it is "microRNA s0092_c044". Lineage: Eukaryota; Viridiplantae; Streptophyta; Magnoliopsida; Poales; Bromeliaceae. The record is from RNAcentral.